GGGCGCAUAGCUCAGCUGGGAGAGCACCUGCCUUACAAGCAGGGGGCCAUAGGUUCAAGUCCUAUUGCGCCCACCA
This 76-nucleotide transfer RNA is filed under the name Eubacteriales Family XIII. Incertae Sedis bacterium. Its description in RNAcentral is "tRNA-Val". It matches the Rfam family "tRNA". From Rfam's summary of the family: Transfer RNA (tRNA) molecules are approximately 80 nucleotides in length. Their secondary structure includes four short double-helical elements and three loops (D, anti-codon, and T loops). Further hydrogen bonds mediate the characteristic L-shaped molecular structure. tRNAs have two regions of fundamental functional importance: the anti-codon, which is responsible for specific mRNA codon recognition, and the 3' end, to which the tRNAs corresponding amino acid is attached (by aminoacyl-tRNA synthetases). tRNAs cope with the degeneracy of the genetic code in two manners: having more than one tRNA (with a specific anti-codon) for a particular amino acid; and 'wobble' base-pairing, i.e. permitting non-standard base-pairing at the 3rd anti-codon position. The record is from RNAcentral. Lineage: Bacteria; Bacillati; Bacillota; Clostridia; Peptostreptococcales; Anaerovoracaceae. RNAcentral also lists the same sequence under 1 other name.